UCGCGGCGGUGCGCGCAGAAGGGUCUUGGGCUCGAUCCUUGCCUGGNAGCCGCCGCCGGUGCAGAUCUUGGUGGUAGUAGCAAAUACUCCAGCGAGGCCCUGGAGGACUGAUGUGGAGAAGGGUUUCGUGUGAACAGCCGUUGCACACGAGUCAGUCGAUCCUAAGCCCUAGGAGAAAUCCGAUGCAAACGGCGAUGGGAAACGCACUGAACUCGAUUUACAUGAGACAGAGACCCAUUGAACGGGCGAAAGGGAAUCCGGUUCCUAUUCCGGAACCCGGCAGCGGAACCGUUGUUUGUCGGGCCCUCGCAAGGGGUUCGUCAGGGCAACCUAAAAGGGCCCGGAGACGCCGUCGGGGGCCCCGGAAAGAGUUUUCUUUUCUGCAUGAGCGUUCGAGUUCCCUGGAAUCCUCUCGCAGGGAGAUAGGGUUUGGAACGCGAAGAGCACCGCAGUUGCGGCGGUGCACGGGAAUUCCCGACGGACCUUGAAAAUCCGGGAGAGGGCCACGUGGAGGUGUCGCGCCGGCUCGUACCCAUAUCCGCAGCAGGUCUCCAAGGUGAAGAGCCUCUAGUC
RNAcentral lists this ribosomal RNA (573 nucleotides) under Micrathyria aequalis. Its description in RNAcentral is "eukaryotic LSU rRNA". It matches the Rfam family "Eukaryotic large subunit ribosomal RNA", at positions 1389 to 1888 of the family's 3401-position model. Lineage: Eukaryota; Metazoa; Arthropoda; Insecta; Odonata; Libellulidae. The record is from RNAcentral.